GGUCCCGCGAGUAGUCCAAGCCGUCACGAGAAGUGGCGGCUGGGGGCCUUGGCUCGGACAAACGGAAGUGUAGGUGACUGUCGGGGACUUCGCCGCCAAGCUGGGAACCGGGGAGAUGGCCGAGACCGACCCCAAGACCAUGCAGGACCUCACCUCGGUGGUGCAGACCCUCUUACAGCAGAUGCAAGAUAAAUUUCAGACUAUGUCUGACCAGAUCAUUGGGAGAAUUGAUGAUAUGAGUAGUCGCAUUGAUGAUCUGGAGAAAAACAUCGCAGACCUCAUGACACAGGCUGGGGUGGAGGAACUGGAAGGUGAAAACAAGAUACCUGCCACACAAAAAAGUUGAAGGUGAGGAAGGACACAGUUGUAUUAAUUUUUAAGAAGAGUACAGAGAGUUAAUGUGUUGCUGAUAAAUUGCAUUGAAAUCUGGAACACCAUUUUUCCAAGCCAAGAGAAGACCAGAUGGCUUUUUGCAACUAACCACUAUGUGUAGACAGGUUUUAUAUUUUAAAGUGUGCAUUCUUACCACAUCCCAUAUACUUAGUUUAUAGAGUGAUUUCCCCUCAGUUUCUCAAAUGUGGUAUCUUCACAUCUUGGAACUUGGUCAGUUGUGCUCUUCAUUAUUAAACACUAAAACUUUGGCAGUUCCUACAUAAAAUUGUCAAAUUUUUUAGUGUAUUUUUGUGAAGUCAUUUUUUUCUGCCAUUGGUUUUGUAGUAGUUGCUGUUCCGUAGAAGUUUCUGUAUAAUAUUUCACUAGAUAAGUGGUAAGCCCUUCAAUUAUUGUUAGAUCUGGUGAAGUAAGGUAUUUGUAGAGUUUAAGGUUCUUUCAUUUUCAGCACAAAGUGACUGUUGAACUAACACUAGUGUGUCGGCAAUACUGUACUUUUCAAAUGGCUAAAACAUUUAAAAGUUUGUUUAGUAAUAUCUGUCAUUACUCUGUUGCCAAAACUCAGAAUUGAACCAUAACUUAUGACGUAAGUUUGUGGGAUCAGAUGCUAAAGUCACUGAGAAGUAACCACUGCCACUUUACUGCGUUAGCAUUUUUUAAAUACUGAAAGUAACUGAAUAGCCUGAUGUACAGAGGCUUUCGUUCAUUAAGAGUUUUGCAUGAGAUUUUAAUACUUCAGUAGGACCUUACAUUGUUCAUCUACAAUGGUUACCAUAAAAAAUCUGGCAGGAAUUUGAAACAACUACUCAUCCUUUCUUUGAGCUGCUGUUUGGAAAAGAGAGAAGAGAAAGCUAUUUAUCUGUGCCAGUCACUUGGCUAGAAUAUGAUGAAUGAACGGUGGUAGGCUCAAGUUUUUAAAAGGUUUUCUGUUGCAAAUUCUUGCAGAAUAACAGUUUUAUCAGUGGUGAUAGAAGAGGAGGUAGUCUUGCUACUCAGGAACGUAGUGUCAGGAGUGCUGAGCCGCAGCCAGCGCCCACGGCCUGGAAGGUGACCCACGUGGUCACCACAGCGAUUUCAUCCAGCAGAAACUGAAUGAGCGAAACAGUUGGAGGCGGUGCGGUCCUUUCCAGUACGAUUUUCUUUAAAGUUUCCUGUAUCACCGGGCUUGUUUAUAUUGCAAACUUAAUAUUAAAUAUUUUUCCUAUUUAUAAAUUAUAUGAGGAACACAACAGUCAGAUUUUUCUGUAAUAAAGUUGCCACAGUUGUUCCCCAGCCGCACAGUCCUGCAGUUGGGCAGAUUAGUGAGACUAAGCUCGCCCCACAGUGGCCCACUCCACCUGAGCCAGGCAGCAGAAGCCUGCAUGCAGGACACUUUGGAGCCUUGUGAAUGGCAAGCGAAAGUGAUAAGGCUGCUCGUGGAUGGAAGAGAUGGGAUCUUAGGAGUUGGCUUCCUUAAAUGUCAGACUUCAGAGGCGCCUGUGUGUCCCGUCCCAGUCGUCCCCCUCCCCCCCACUUCCUUCCCCCUGGCCAAAAACAUCUGCCGUAAAUAAAGGUGCCUGAAAUCCUGCUACUGGA
Molecule: RNA transcript, 1965 nt
Organism: Chinchilla lanigera (long-tailed chinchilla)
Lineage: Eukaryota; Metazoa; Chordata; Mammalia; Rodentia; Chinchillidae
Gene: Hsbp1
Gene name: heat shock factor binding protein 1
Exons: 4
Source: RefSeq, a predicted model, not a curated record